AAACAUGGAAAAUGAUUGUUUCUUUCUUUUCUUUUUUUCAAUUAAACAUGUUGUGGCGGGCAUAUGAAAGGCAGCCUCACUUGCAGCCCGCCCCGGGGAACGCGCGAGGAACGCGGGAGAACCGGUCACGCAUGCGCCCAUGCCCCAGCCAAGCUCCGUGCUCGGUCCUGCUGCUCCAGGCUCCCAGCUCCCGCCGCCGCGCCGCACAAAGACCUGCUUUGUUCUCUCGGCUCUGUUUUAAAUAUCUGACGAAUAUUGCCCCAUCCCUGUGCCAAAUCCCGCGGCCUGGCUGCAGGCCCGGUACAAGGGUGCAUUGUGGGGCCAAGCGAGGCGCGAGGGGGCUGGAGGAGAAGUAAAAAUUGGAAAAUGAGGGCCCUGGCAGAGAGCAGAUCCUAUAAGGAGACGCGGAAGUUUGCUGUGGGAACACUAACCCAUCACGAGCCCGACCAGCAUAGCUGGAGGCGUUGACCCGCAAAGCCCCACGCUUGGUUUCUUAUCUGACCAUCGCUGUACAUAUUUAGAAAGUGCUUAUCACUCGGACUCUUUGAAAAGCGUGGCAUUCCAGUGCAAACCAACCCCAAUGGGGGGCGGUGGAGGGGGGGCGGUCCUUCCUCCCUCAAGCUCAAAGGCUCAAGAGGCCAGAGCUGACUGCCUGCAGCCAUAGACCCACUGUGGCCUCUUGAGGAAAACCACACCUUCCAUGGUACAGCCUCUCCCUCUGGAGAGAUGGGGUGAUUGUGAUGUAGGUCAAACAAAAGUGGGCUUUCAGCUGGCACGGAGUUGUCCAGCUACUCCCCCUGCCCGUCUGACUGGCCUGCACUGGGAACUGCAGGUAGUCCUUCCAGCUCAGGUGUUUGGUUCCCUGCAGCUGAGGGUGAAGGAGUUCUUGCGUUGUCUCUAGGGAGGCUUGCUUGCUAAACAGGAAUCACAAACCCCACCUGUCUACCCAAGCGUCUUAUUUUCAGGUCAAGGAAAAACUGUCUUCCAAAGUAGGUCUUGCAGACUCAAAUUCAAAAUGCGGGCCUUCGAGACUCUGAAAAAAAAAAACUUUUGGAUCUGCCCUGUCUGAUCUCGGCCCGCUCUGGAAGGCUCAGCUCAGGCUUUUGGCUCCCCACCUGAGCACCAAUAGCCGUCACUACCUUGCCUGUAAGAACACAGCAGAAGUCGGCCCAUUUGUCCUGACUCCCCUACUUUGUCACCUGUAUCCUUCCUGGGAAUCUUCUUGCCCACUGUAAUCUCUCCAGUCCCGGAUUUACAACACCGCUCCUCACAACCCCCCCCCAUGGCCCUCUACCAACCCUUUUGGUGAGUACAUCCACUGUCCUCCAACCACCGACUUCUUGCUAAAUUCUUCCCCACUCUCCUCAGGCACAAACAACCCAGAAGUGCUCUCAGAUCCAAGCAUCACUCAGGGAGGGCGGUCAAGUGAGCGUAAGGACUGUUCACCCUCCUGAGGGUAUGAUGUGAUGUCUGAGCAGCCACUUCAAAAACAUUAGGGCCUGUUCCAGGGAUGCCACCCAGACAGGAUACUGCUCAAAGCUGCCUCCCAUCCUGGGAACAGAGGCCAAGAGCUCUUGACAAGGACACUUAGCCCUGCUGGGUAUUGAUGAUGUCACUUAGGUCAGCCCAGAAUGAGGAGGGUCUGAGCUUUGUUUUGCUCUUCUCUGGUCCAACUUUGACUACAUACACUGUCCCUGCUGCCCUGGCCUGACAGUGGUUAGCAACAGUCUAAUGGAGCCCGAGAGAGGCCACUCAGAGGAGCCACCUUUGGGCCGCCUUCUGCCUUAGUGUUGUUACCAACGGUUACUUGUGCUACCACCUCCUGGCGAAACGGCUCUGGCACACAGUAGCCACUUCUGUUCUGUAGGUCCUGCGAACUCUGAGCUCCC
Molecule: long non-coding RNA, 1889 nt
Organism: Mesocricetus auratus (golden hamster)
Lineage: Eukaryota; Metazoa; Chordata; Mammalia; Rodentia; Cricetidae
Exons: 4
Source: RefSeq, a predicted model, not a curated record